CAGUCGCCGCGGUAAUACGAGGGGGGCAAGCGUUGUUCGGAAUUAUUGGGCGUAAAGGGUGCGUAGGCGGUUUGGUAAGUCUUGUGUGAAAUCUUCGGGCUCAACCCGAAGCCUGCACGAGAAACUGCCGGGCUUGAGUAUGGGAGAGGUGAGUGGAAUUUCCGGUGUAGCGGUGAAAUGCGUAGAUAUCGGAAGGAACACCUGUGGCGAAGGCGGCUCACUGGACCAUUACUGACGCUGAUGCACGAAAGCUAGGGGAGCAAACAGGAUUAGAUACCCCCGUAGUCCCUGUCUCUUAUAC
Molecule: ribosomal RNA, 301 nt
Filed under: uncultured bacterium
Lineage: Bacteria
Description: partial 16S ribosomal RNA
Rfam family: Bacterial small subunit ribosomal RNA
Source: RNAcentral